GCCAUGAAGGCCACUAGAAUAAGUAGCUACUAACUACGUGCCAGCAGUCGCGGUAAUACGUAGGCUACAAGCGUUACUCGGAUUUAUUGGGCGUAAAGGGUCUGUAGACGGUUUUCUAAGUCUUGUUUCAAAGACCUCGACUUAAUCGAGGAAAGGGGCAAGAUACUGGAAGACUAGAGUGGUAUCGGGGUUACUGGAAUUUUUGGUGUAGGGGUUAAAUCCGUGGAUACUAAAAAGAACACCAAGCGCGAAGGCGGGUAACUAGGUAUUUACUGACGUUCAGAGACGAAAGCUAGGGUAGCAAAUCAGAUUAGGGACCUGAGUAGUCCUAGCCGUAAACAUUGUCCGUUAGUUCUUCCCAAUUUUUAUUGGGAGGGAUGUUAGCAAACGCGUUAAACGGAUCGCCUGGGGAGUAUAGCCGCAAGGCCGAAACUCAAACGAAUUGGCGGGGAGGCGCACAACCAGUGGAGCAUGUGGUUCAAUUCGAUACAAAGCGAUGAACCUUACCUGGGUUUGAAAUGCACCUGCAGGCUCCUGAAAGGGAGCGUCCUUCGAGGGUGGUGCACAGCUGUUGCAUGGCUGUCGUCAGCUCGUGACGUGAGUUGUUCUCUUAAGUGAGGUAACGAGCGCAACCCCCGUUCUGUGUUAUUGUGUCACAGAAGACUGCCUAGCAUUAUUUUGUUAGGAGGAAGGAGGGGACGACGUCAAGUCAUCAUGAUGCUUAUAUCCAGGGCUACACACAUCCUACAAUGGGCUAUAACAGAGGGUUGCAAGACCGCAAGGUGGAGCUAAUCCCUAAACUAGCCCUCAGUUGGGAUUGCAGGCUGAAACUCGCCUGCAUGAACCCGGAAUUGGUAGUAAUCGCACAUCAGCAGCGUGCGGUGAAUACGUUCUCGCCUCUUGCACACACCGCCCGU
Molecule: ribosomal RNA, 917 nt
Filed under: uncultured bacterium
Lineage: Bacteria
Description: bacterial SSU rRNA
Rfam family: Bacterial small subunit ribosomal RNA
Source: RNAcentral